CUUGAAAGUCCAAACCAGAGAAGACGUCAGCCUAUGGGCCGCCCAGCACAAACACUACCCUCUUCGUCUGACCGUGACUUCUUCAGCUCACUCGAUCAACCUGAGCACCCUCUCGAGUCUCGAAAAGAAAGCUUUAGCAUCUGCUCAAAGUCCAAUCACCACUAGUAGCAGAACCUAAAGCCAAUGGAUCGAGCUCCCAAUUGCCGAGACCGGGCUGACGCACGACGGCACGACUCAACAGCACCAAAAGGCACCAACAGAAACCCGCUGUAGCUUGAUCCUUAAGCUUGGAAUCCCGACCGCCAUGCCAUGCCAUGUGGUGACGACGACGACGGCUUGCCAAAGGUUCGGUUCCCCCAGGCCCUCCGACGAUGCUCGUCCCGAGUUGGGGGCAAAGCAAAAGCCUCCGCGCUUUGCAGCCGAAUCAGGAUCCGUCGUCGUCAUGCCGCCAGGGCCAAGCCAGCGGGCGAUCGCCAUCCGGGAGGACCAGAUCGCCCUGUCGCCUGCCGUCUCUCCAAAAGAAAGCCACGCGAAUAGCAUCUGAUCUUCCGCGGCGCGCCCAAGAUCUCCCCUGCUGUCGCGUCCGGCCCUCGGCGCCGUCCGCUCGAACCCUUCUCAGGUCUCCUGUUCGCUGCUGCUGCCUGCUGGGUAUAUUAGCCACGCGCAGUCGAGUUCAUGGUCGACCAUGAGCGUCGCGUCCAGCGCUUCAUGGCUGUCGAGGGGAAUGACGUCCGGUCCGAAGACGCUUGCGGCGGCGAGCCGGCGAGGCACCAUGCGGCUUCGGACCAGGCUUCAUUCCCCAUGACUCAUGGAAUGGCAGCGAUCCCGCGAGCUUUGUCCGUUUGUCGUCGCGACCUCAUCAGAAGCCCGGGCCCUCUGGCCUCUGCGACAACGUACGCGUGGAGCAGCAGGGGAGAUGGGACACACCCACCUGACCGGGAACUGAGCAUCGCCGCCGCUACAUGCGAGACCUGCCCUGCAACUGCAACUGAAGGCUAGCGAGAUGCUGCUUGGCUUCAAAGAUUGAAUUAACCAGGGAAAAAGAAGGCACUAGCAGCGAUAUUCACUUCAUCUGCCUGAUUUCAAGCUGAUGCUGCAGCUGCUCAACAUGGAACGCAACAAAGGCUCGGUUCAGACUUCAGAUCAGGGUUCCAAACCCGUGCAAGACCAAAAGCACAAUUCGUGCUGUAACUAGACCACCCCAAGGACCUGAACAGUGCAAUCACAUUACGAAGAACCGAAAAAAAAUAUACCGACGAAGGAUGUCUUCUAUUUCAUCUGGUGCUAACCUGGAGUCUGCAAUGAACACUGAUGCUGCACUGGAGAGCUACUCUGUUACUGAAGAUGAGAUAAUCAGGCUAAAUCAGUGACAUAUGCUUCCUGUACUUGAUUUCGAGCAGAUGCUGCAACCUGCAGCCGCUGGCUCAACAUAGAACAAAACACCAUUCGUUUCAUCCCUGCUAAAAGUAAUAAAGAAGAGAAAAGUUACAUA
Molecule: long non-coding RNA, 1492 nt
Organism: Panicum hallii
Lineage: Eukaryota; Viridiplantae; Streptophyta; Magnoliopsida; Poales; Poaceae
Exons: 2
Source: RefSeq, a predicted model, not a curated record